This 440-nucleotide ribosomal RNA is filed under the name fungal sp. Its description in RNAcentral is "SSU rRNA". It matches the Rfam family "Eukaryotic small subunit ribosomal RNA", at positions 624 to 1077 of the family's 1831-position model. The record is from RNAcentral. Lineage: Eukaryota; Fungi.
GUUUAGGUACGUAGUCGACUCGCGUACUGGUACUGGUACGUACUCGAUUCGUACUUUCCUCGUACUUAGUAGACCGUAAUGCCAUUAAUUUGGUGUUGCGGGGAAUUUGGACUGUUACUUUGAAAAAAUUAGAGUGUUUAAAGCAAGCUAACGCUUGAAUACAUUAGCAUGGAAUAAUGAAAUAGGACGUUCGAUCCUAUUUUGUUGGUUUCUAGGAUUGACGUAAUGAUUAAUAGGGAUAGUUGGGGGCAUUAGUAUUCAAUUGUCAGAGGUGAAAUUCUUGGAUUUAUUGAAGACUAACUACUGCGAAAGCAUUUGCCAAGGAUGUUUUCAUUAAUCAAGAACGAAAGUUAGGGGAUCGAAGACGAUCAGAUACCGUCGUAGUCUUAACCAUAAACUAUGCCGACUAGGGAUCGGAUGAUGUUAAUUUUUAAUGACUC